UUUUUAAAAUGGAUUGAAAUUUUCUUCCUAUAAUAUAAAUAAACAUUGUUACCUUACCGGCGUUUGAUAAAGUAAAACCUUAUAUGUAGUGUUCACCGCUGGUUAACAAUUGACCGAAUUGACACCGAUUUCCCUACACUGCCGUGAAAAUUUCGAAAAUCUAUAAUAGGUAAUCAAGUACAAAUUGGCAUCAAACAAAACUAUUCGAGCCUUUUCAAUUAUUACCUGUUAGAUUCUAAUCGUCCGACGUUGUUUCCCAUCGCAUCGGACCGUUAAGCCGCGGCGAGGUCUUAAUUACGUUUUCCUUCCAUACCCACCAGCAUUUGAAGAAGCAACAGGAAAUUUUCUGAAUGUUUUCUUCGUAGAUCCGAUAUGGAUAUGUACGUCCGCCGAUCAUUUGUCUUUCCCCGGUGCCGCGAGGGGAGGAGCAAGGCAAUUAUCGCAUUGUUUACAUAGACAAGCAAUUAUAGCUAUUAUUGAAUUACUUAGUUUAGAUUUCUCCCAUGCCUUUUUUUGUAUAUUAGAAUUUUUUAAUUGCUUGUGUAAGACCCUGUUUAUUUUCUAAAGAAUUGAAAUAUUUUUCUUAGUCAUUAAGAUGAAAUUUAUCGGUCUGACCGAAAAGAGGUCCAGGAUAUUUACAAAACUAAAGCUAGCUCAGCGGUACCGUAAGUAACCGAAUACGGUUUACACUUAGCGUUUCCCCUCGGGAAUUAUUUUUAUGGGUUUCGAUAAAAGAGUGAGAUAAAUAUUUGGUUUAUAAAAUUCAUUUGAGUUUUGGUCACUAAAGAGUGAAGUUACUUAAUAAAAACAAUAAAGGGUGUUGCGACGUGAAAUAAGCUGUGUUGGUUUGGUGUAGUGUUUUACUACAAGAAAGGGUCUACACGUCACCAUCUCUACUUUGGAGUCGCCCAAGCGCCCAGUUGUUUUACAAGGUGUUUAUUCUAUUUUUAUGAUUUAUUUUGAUUAUUUUGGACUAUUUUGAAUUUAUUUAACGUAUUAAAAAUUAUAAAAUUAUUUAAAUGAC
Molecule: long non-coding RNA, 1024 nt
Organism: Anthonomus grandis grandis
Lineage: Eukaryota; Metazoa; Arthropoda; Insecta; Coleoptera; Curculionidae
Exons: 2
Source: RefSeq, a predicted model, not a curated record